RNAcentral lists this ribosomal RNA (490 nucleotides) under uncultured bacterium. RNAcentral's name for it is "partial 16S ribosomal RNA". It matches the Rfam family "Bacterial small subunit ribosomal RNA", at positions 28 to 507 of the family's 1533-position model. The record is from RNAcentral.
GAUGAACGCUAGCGAUAGGCUUAACACAUGCAAGUCGAGGGGCAGCACGGUCUUAGCUUGCUAAGACUGAUGGCGACCGGCGCACGGGUGCGUAACGCGUAUGCAACUUGCCUCACAGAGGGGGAUAACCCGUCGAAAGACGGACUAAUACCGCGUACACUCUAUUUUGGGCAUCCAAGGUAGAGGAAAUGAAAUUCGCUGUGAGAUAGGCAUGCGUCCCAUUAGCUAGUUGGUGAGGUAACGGCUCACCAAGGCGACGAUGGGUAGGGGAACUGAGAGGUUGAACCCCCACACUGGUACUGAGACACGGACCAGACUCCUACGGGAGGCAGCAGUGAGGAAUAUUGGUCAAUGGGCGAGAGCCUGAACCAGCCAAGUCGCGUGAAGGAUGACUGUCUUAUGGAUUGUAAACUUCUUUUGUAGGGGAAUAAAGAGGGGCACGUGUGCCCCAGUGAAUGUACCCUACGAAUAAGCAUCGGCUAACUCCGUG